This 253-nucleotide ribosomal RNA is filed under the name uncultured prokaryote. RNAcentral's name for it is "partial 16S ribosomal RNA". It matches the Rfam family "Bacterial small subunit ribosomal RNA", at positions 525 to 777 of the family's 1533-position model. The record is from RNAcentral.
ACGAAGGGUGCAAGCGUUACUCGGAAUUACUGGGCGUAAAGGGUGCGUAGGUGGUUUUUUAAGUCUGCUGUGGAAUCCCCGGGCUCAACCUGGGAAUUGCAUUCGAGACUGAAUAGCUAGGGUACGGUAGAGGGAAGUGGAAUUUCCGGUGUAGCGGUGAAAUGCGUAGAUAUCGGAAGGAACAUCAGUGGCGAAAGCGACUUCCUGGACCAGUACCGACGUUCAGGCACGAAAGCGUGGGGAGCAAACAGGA